This 451-nucleotide ribosomal RNA is filed under the name Neisseria flava. Its description in RNAcentral is "bacterial SSU rRNA". It matches the Rfam family "Bacterial small subunit ribosomal RNA", at positions 30 to 475 of the family's 1533-position model. The record is from RNAcentral. Lineage: Bacteria; Pseudomonadati; Pseudomonadota; Betaproteobacteria; Neisseriales; Neisseriaceae.
AUUGAACGCUGGCGGCAUGCUUUACACAUGCAAGUCGGACGGCAGCACAGAGAAGCUUGCUUCUUGGGUGGCGAGUGGCGAACGGGUGAGUAACAUAUCGGAACGUACCGAGCAGUGGGGGAUAACUAAUCGAAAGAUUAGCUAAUACCGCAUAUUUUCUGAGGAAGAAAGCAGGGGACCAUUUGGCCUUGCGCUGUUUGAGCGGCCGAUAUCUGAUUAGCUAGUUGGUGGGGUAAAGGCCUACCAAGGCGACGAUCAGUAGCGGGUCUGAGAGGAUGAUCCGCCACACUGGGACUGAGACACGGCCCAGACUCCUACGGGAGGCAGCAGUGGGGAAUUUUGGACAAUGGGCGCAAGCCUGAUCCAGCCAUGCCGCGUGUCUGAAGAAGGCCUUCGGGUUGUAAAGGACUUUUGUCAGGGAAGAAAAGGGCGGGGUCAAUACCCCUGUCUG